UUGGAGGGCAAGUCUGGUGCCAGCAGCCGCGGUAAUUCCAGCUCCAAUAGCGUAUAUUAAAGUUGUUGCAGUUAAAAAGCUCGUAGUUGAAUUUCGGGGUUCAUACGUUGGUCGGGCUUUUUGGUCUGUACUAGCGUAAUGGAUUCCUACCUUCUGAAUAACCGGCAUGCCAUUAAUUUGGUGCGUCGGGGAAGCAGGACUGCUACCUUGAAAAAAUUAGAGUGCUUAAAGCAGGCUAUCGCCUGAAUACAUUAGCAUGGAAUAAUGAAAUAGGACGGCAUGGUUCUAUUUUGUUGGUUUCUAGGAUCACCGUAAUGAUUAAUAGGGAUAGUUGGGGGCAUUAGUGUUCAAUUGUCAGAGGUGAAAUUCUUGGAUUUAUUGAAGACUAACUUCUGCGAAAGCAUUUGCCAAGGAUGUUUUCAUUAAUCAAGAACGAAAGUUAGGGGAUCGAAGACGAUCAGAUACCGUCGUAGUCUUAACCAUAAACUAUGCCGACUAGGAAUCGGACGAUGUUAAUUUUUUAAUGACUCGUUCGGCGCCUUACGGGAAAC
This 551-nucleotide ribosomal RNA is filed under the name uncultured Acaulospora. RNAcentral's name for it is "SSU rRNA". It matches the Rfam family "Eukaryotic small subunit ribosomal RNA", at positions 548 to 1098 of the family's 1831-position model. Lineage: Eukaryota; Fungi; Glomeromycota; Glomeromycetes; Diversisporales; Acaulosporaceae. The record is from RNAcentral.